This 497-nucleotide ribosomal RNA is filed under the name uncultured bacterium. Its description in RNAcentral is "partial 16S ribosomal RNA". It matches the Rfam family "Bacterial small subunit ribosomal RNA", at positions 28 to 507 of the family's 1533-position model. The record is from RNAcentral.
GAUGAACGCUGGCGGCGUGCCUAAUACAUGCAAGUCGAGCGAACAGAUGAGGAGCUUGCUCCUCUGACGUUAGCGGCGGACGGGUGAGUAACACGUGGAUAACCUACCUAUAAGACUGGGAUAACUUCGGGAAACCGGAGCUACUACCGGAUAAUAUAUUGAACCGCAUGGUUCAAUAGUGAAAGACGGUUUUGCUGUCACUUAUAGAUGGAUCCGCGCCGCAUUAGCUAGUUGGUAAGGUAACGGCUUACCAAGGCGACGAUGCGUAGCCGAUCUGAGAGGGUGAUCGGCCACACUGGAACUGAGACACGGUCCAGACUCCUACGGGAGGCAGCAGUAGGGAAUCUUCCGCAAUGGGCGAAAGCCUGACGCAGCAACGCCGCGUGAGUGAUGAAGGUCUUCGGAUCGUAAAACUCUGUUAUUAGGGAAGAACAAAUGUGUAAGUAACCAUGCACGUCUUGACGGUACCUAAUCAGAAAGCCCCGGCUAACUACGUG